Long non-coding RNA from Solea senegalensis (Senegalese sole), 1332 nucleotides. RefSeq lists it as uncharacterized. The transcript is spliced from 5 exons. NCBI's taxonomy places the organism in Eukaryota, Metazoa, Chordata, Actinopteri, Pleuronectiformes, Soleidae. The record is from RefSeq and is a predicted model, not a curated record.
UAUAGUCGCACACAUUGUUGACUUACAUGUGUCAGGGCAACAAUGCUAGGCUUCACUUCCACUAUGAACUACACAUGAACUAGCUUAAAGGACACUAGCUGUAGCUGUAGCUGUGUCAACUCACCUCCAAGAAAACACUUGUUUUUGGCGUGUGCUCAGAAAUGACAACAUUUUAACUUCAAAACAAGAAGAAGUGACCAUUUAGAGGGUCAGGUCAUUUCAAAGUUUUUGGACUGGGCUGGAUAGACAUUGGACCCAAGGUCCUAAAACAUUUGACACUGUUCUGAAGCUUCAAACCAUCUGUGCAUAAAGAAAUAAAGACGAGACACAAAGAUCCGGAGGCGGAGGUUGGGCAUCUGGCUGAGGAACUGGGCCAAUUUGAUGGAGCAGUUGGCACAGGGAGACCAGGAGCAGAACCAGAAUAUGCUCUCCUAUUUCCACCUUCAUUACUCACCUCUACAUGGCAGCCAGUGCGAUUGCGGAGGUGUCCAAAGUCAAAGGUCAUGGAGUCGGGGCCCACUCGUCUCUUCACUACAAAGCAGAGACGCCCUCACAUCUGGCUGGACCCCCGGUAGUGCCAGGAAGCAUGCCAGGAAUGCAAGGAAUGGCCCAGUGAACGAUAAGAAGGAAAUUCCCUAAAGCAGACUGGACUAAAAGCCAGAAACAACAGGCACAUGGUCAAUCACCGGGGAGAAAUGAAAGGGAUGACGACAACAAGUGGGAUGGGAGGGGAUGGAACAGGAUGCCUGGACAGACGUAGGUCUAGGUUUGACACAAAGACAACAAACACUGACAAUAGCUCUCCGAGGAUGCUGAGAGUGAUGACGAGGAUGAAGAGAUGACACAUGAAAAACGGAGGAAUGGGAAGGGUCGGAGUGGGAUGACUGAAUAGAGAUACUGUCGGUGAGAGGGUCAGGCAGAAAAGAGCUAAUGUCCUGUGAUAAAGGUGGGAUGAGAAAAAGAACAAAGCGAUGACAAUGACUGAACAAAGAUAGCGACUGCAAAGACAUGGAACAGACUAUCACCCGCAUCCAAAGGGUGUUGAGCAAGAGCGAAGACAACUGUGGGACAGGAAGAGAGAUAGAGGCGUGCCACGGGAAAGGUUAACCCCUUUUAAUCAGUCUCUGGUUUGGUGACAGUGACUGCAUUCAGAACUGGUAUUCACAUCUGUCCUGAGUGAUCAGAUCAUGGGCAGCCAUGACUUGCUGCAAUUUCAGGGUUUUUUUACACACUAAUUAGCACUCAUAUAUUAGCAGCCACUGCCACAAUAUUAACGCAUCAUUCAUUCAUUGUCUACUGCUUUAUUCUCCACAUGAAGGCCACGGGGAGCCG